Molecule: transfer RNA, 75 nt
Filed under: Opitutia bacterium TMED102
Lineage: Bacteria; Pseudomonadati; Verrucomicrobiota; Opitutia
Also listed under: 1 other name
Description: Opitutae bacterium TMED102 tRNA-Glu
Rfam family: tRNA
About the family: Transfer RNA (tRNA) molecules are approximately 80 nucleotides in length. Their secondary structure includes four short double-helical elements and three loops (D, anti-codon, and T loops). Further hydrogen bonds mediate the characteristic L-shaped molecular structure. tRNAs have two regions of fundamental functional importance: the anti-codon, which is responsible for specific mRNA codon recognition, and the 3' end, to which the tRNAs corresponding amino acid is attached (by aminoacyl-tRNA synthetases). tRNAs cope with the degeneracy of the genetic code in two manners: having more than one tRNA (with a specific anti-codon) for a particular amino acid; and 'wobble' base-pairing, i.e. permitting non-standard base-pairing at the 3rd anti-codon position.
Source: RNAcentral
GGCGUGUUGGUCUAUCGGUUAGGACGCCGCCCUCUCAAGGCGGAAAGACGAGUUCAAUUCUCGUACACGCUGCCA